GAUUAACGCUAGCGGCAGGCCUAAUACAUGCAAGUCGAACGGGAUUCAAAGUAGCAAUAUUUUGAUGAGAGUGGCGCACGGGUGAGUAACACGUAUGCAAUUUACCUUUAACCGGGGGAUAGCCCUCCGAAAGGAGGAUUAAUACCGCAUAAUAUAUUGAAAUGGCAUCAUUUUAAUAUUAAACCUACGGGGGUUAAAGAUGAGCAUGCAUCCGAUUAGCUAGUUGGUGUGGUAACGGCUCACCAAGGCAACGAUCGGUAGGGGGUCUGAGAGGAUGAUCCCCCACACUGGUACUGAGACACGGACCAGACUCCUACGGGAGGCAGCAGUAAGGAAUAUUGGACAAUGGAGGCAACUCUGAUCCAGCCAUGCCGCGUGAAGGAUUAAGGCCCUAUGGGUUGUAAACUUCUUUUAGACGGGACAAAACCCCUUUACGUGUAAAGGGUUGAUGGUACUGUCAGAAUAAGCAUCGGCUAACUUCGUG
RNAcentral lists this ribosomal RNA (484 nucleotides) under uncultured bacterium. Its description in RNAcentral is "bacterial SSU rRNA". It matches the Rfam family "Bacterial small subunit ribosomal RNA", at positions 28 to 507 of the family's 1533-position model. The record is from RNAcentral.